Molecule: unclassified non-coding RNA, 440 nt
Filed under: uncultured Thelephoraceae
Lineage: Eukaryota; Fungi; Basidiomycota; Agaricomycetes; Thelephorales; Thelephoraceae
Description: sequence contains ITS2
Rfam family: 5.8S ribosomal RNA (bases 1-156)
Source: RNAcentral
AACUUUCGGCAACGGAUCUCUUGGCUCUCGCAUCGAUGAAGAACGCAGCGAAUUGCGAUAUGUAAUGUGAAUUGCAGAUCUACAGUGAAUCAUCGAAUCUUUGAACGCACCUUGCGCCCUUUGGCUAUUCCGAAGGGCAUGCCUGUUUGAGUAUCAUGAACACCUCAACUCUCAUGGCUUGCCAUGAUGAGCUUGGACUCUGGGGGUCUUGCUGGCUCAUGGUCAGCUCCUCUUAAAUGAAUCAGCCUUCCAGUGUUUGGUGGCAUCACAGGUGUGAUAACUAUCUACGCUUGUGGUGUCCUCCCAGGUAACCUUCAGUGAUGGAGGUCGCUGGAGCUAAUAAAUGCACAUCUCUCAUUGUAGAGAUGGCCUUUUAGAUGUUUGAUCUCAAAUCAGGUAGGACUACCCGCUGAACUUAAGCAUAUCAAUAAGCGGAGGCU